This 1275-nucleotide long non-coding RNA is filed under the name Sus scrofa (pig). RNAcentral's name for it is "lncRNA (ENSSSCG00065064525.1)". The record is from RNAcentral. Lineage: Eukaryota; Metazoa; Chordata; Mammalia; Artiodactyla; Suidae.
UUUGAUUUUUUUUUUUUUUUUUUGCUUGUUUUGUGAAAGUCAAAUGGCCCAAUGUGAGCGGGCUUUGUAAAUUCUAAAAUGUUAACAAACGUUGACUUAUUAUUUUGAUGAUUCUUGUUCUCUUCUCCAUAAAUUGGUCAACAGUCUCACCAAUGAGCAGUCCUCUUUGUGAGCUUUAUUGCAUUGACAAAAGCUGGAAGAUGGGAAAAAGAGGACAAAGGGGGGCUGUCAAAUGAGACAAAGGGAACAGUGAGGGCACAGGAAGAAAGACUGGCAUAUGGUGAGGUGGGGGAGGGGCAAGGCACAGAAGAUACUGGUCAGUGGAAGAAACACACGCACACACACAAUCAACCAUGCUUCAAUAGAAAUAGUUCUUAACAUGUAAAAAAAAAGAAAAAGAAAAAUCCCUUGAUAGUAUUGAAAUGUCUCUGAAAGGUCUUUUUUUUUUUUUUCCCCCAAAUCUUGCCUUGUAAAAUCAAUUGUCAAUUCCAAAUUGACAGUUGUAGCUAUGACUAUUUAAACAGAUUUAACCUCUGUCUCAUUUUGUGGGUGAAAAGGGGCCUUUAAAUGGUAUCUUCUAGAUUCGUUCUUUAAACCUUUGCAUAUAAUUAUCCAUUAAAUAGGCAAGUCAGCCUGUCCAUCAAAUGCAGGAUUUAAAGUAGUACUCUGGCACCCUGGGUGUAUAAACAGUUCUGGAAACACCCGUAGUGUGGGGUUGGGGGUGGGGGACAUUAUCAAUAAACUUCUUAGCCUCCAGGUGUGGUCCUAAGAUUAUUUGACGUUCUGGUUAUGAUGCAGAGUCCUGGGACCACACACUGAUAACAUCCAUGUCAGUUUGGGAAUCCAGAGCCUGGGAAUCUGCAUGCUGAACAAAAUUUUCAGGCUAUUGCUUCCUACAGUCCAGAACAAGAACCCCUGGUCUGGUCAAUGUGGGCACUGACUGCAGGGCCCUGCGAGCUGACCAGCCUUGGCUGCAGCAGCUCCGGGCUGGCUAGGAUGCCCAAGGCUCCCGCGCAGCUGGCUUGGAGCCUUUUCCCUGGAGGAAAGUUUUUACAGCGAUGUGAAAUGCAGUAACCCUUUUCAUUCAAGGAUGACAUGAUGACUUAGGUAUUCCUUCUUUCUGCCUUCUGAGUGUCUGCACGCAUGCAUGUAUUUACUAUUUAGCUUGUGAAGUUUUCAUUUGCAAACGCCUUGCAUUACCGAAAUUUUGACUAUUCCUUGGACCAUUCUGUUGCAAGAAAUAAAUGUACUCUUUAAAUGAUUUAUUUCUUUUUC